This 496-nucleotide ribosomal RNA is filed under the name uncultured bacterium. RNAcentral describes it as "partial 16S ribosomal RNA". It matches the Rfam family "Bacterial small subunit ribosomal RNA", at positions 28 to 506 of the family's 1533-position model. The record is from RNAcentral.
GAUGAACGCUGGCGGUGUGCCUAAUACAUGCAAGUCGAGCGAACAGACGAGGAGCUUGCUCCUCUGACGUUAGCGGCGGACGGGUGAGUAACACGUGGAUAACCUACCUAUAAGACUGGGAUAACUUCGGGAAACCGGAGCUAAUACCGGAUAAUAUAUUGAACCGCAUGGUUCAAUAGUGAAAGACGGUUUUGCUGUCACUUAUAGAUGGAUCCGCGCCGCAUUAGCUAGUUGGUAAGGUAACGGCUUACCAAGGCAACGAUGCGUAGCCGACCUGAGAGGGUGAUCGGCCACACUGGAACUGAGACACGGUCCAGACUCCUACGGGAGGCAGCAGUAGGGAAUCUUCCGCAAUGGGCGAAAGCCUGACGGAGCAACGCCGCGUGAGUGAUGAAGUUCUUCGGAUCGUAAAACGCUGUUAUUAGGGAAGAACAAAUGUGUAAGUAACGAUGCACGUCUUGACGGUACCUAAUCAGAAAGCCACGGCUAACUACGU